Molecule: ribosomal RNA, 1104 nt
Filed under: Escherichia coli
Lineage: Bacteria; Pseudomonadati; Pseudomonadota; Gammaproteobacteria; Enterobacterales; Enterobacteriaceae
Description: partial 23S ribosomal RNA
Rfam family: Bacterial large subunit ribosomal RNA
Source: RNAcentral
AUGAAGGACGUGCUAAUCUGCGAUAAGCGUCGGUAAGGUGAUAUGAACCGUUAUAACCGGCGAUUUCCGAAUGGGGAAACCCAGUGUGUUUCGACACACUAUCAUUAACUGAAUCCAUAGGUUAAUGAGGCGAACCGGGGGAACUGAAACAUCUAAGUACCCCGAGGAAAAGAAAUCAACCGAGAUUCCCCCAGUAGCGGCGAGCGAACGGGGAGCAGCCCAGAGCCUGAAUCAGUAUGUGUGUUAGUGGAAGCGUCUGGAAAGGCGCGCGAUACAGGGUGACAGCCCCGUACACAAAAAUGCACAUGCUGUGAGCUCGAUGAGUAGGGCGGGACACGUGGUAUCCUGUCUGAAUAUGGGGGGACCAUCCUCCAAGGCUAAAUACUCCUGACUGACCGAUAGUGAACCAGUACCGUGAGGGAAAGGCGAAAAGAACCCCGGCGAGGGGAGUGAAAAAGAACCUGAAACCGUGUACGUACAAGCAGUGGGAGCACGCUUAGGCGUGUGACUGCGUACCUUUUGUAUAAUGGGUCAGCGACUUAUAUUCUGUAGCAAGGUUAACCGAAUAGGGGAGCCGAAGGGAAACCGAGUCUUAACUGGGCGUUAAGUUGCAGGGUAUAGACCCGAAACCCGGUGAUCUAGCCAUGGGCAGGUUGAAGGUUGGGUAACACUAACUGGAGGACCGAACCGACUAAUGUUGAAAAAUUAGCGGAUGACUUGUGGCUGGGGGUGAAAGGCCAAUCAAACCGGGAGAUAGCUGGUUCUCCCCGAAAGCUAUUUAGGUAGCGCCUCGUGAAUUCAUCUCCGGGGGUAGAGCACUGUUUCGGCAAGGGGGUCAUCCCGACUUACCAACCCGAUGCAAACUGCGAAUACCGGAGAAUGUUAUCACGGGAGACACACGGCGGGUGCUAACGUCCGUCGUGAAGAGGGAAACAACCCAGACCGCCAGCUAAGGUCCCAAAGUCAUGGUUAAGUGGGAAACGAUGUGGGAAGGCCCAGACAGCCAGGAUGUUGGCUUAGAAGCAGCCAUCAUUUAAAGAAAGCGUAAUAGCUCACUGGUCGAGUCGGCCUGCGCGGAAGAUGUAACGGGGCUAAACCAUGCAC